UUAAUUCAACAAGAUACAUUUAGUCAGCAAGAGAAUUUUGAUAGUAAUGAUGAUGGAUGUAAUGAUUGAAGCACUAAUGAGAUUUUUGAGGUGGCAGUCACCUACUUUCCCUUACAAGCUUGUUUCCGUUUUUUUCCUUUUUUUCCUUUUUAAUCCCUAUUUUGCAUGGACCAAAUCUUUUGAAUUUAUGGUCCAUUGGGAUGCCCUAACUUUUGUCUAAGUCAACUCCUUUUGAGUUUUUGACUUAGCAGAAUCUUUUUGAAAUAUGAUGCCCUAACUUUUGCAUAAGUCAAACUUUCAGGGUUUUUUUUUUCUUUUUGACUUAGCGAGCUUUUUUUAAAACAACUCUUGCGUGAU
RNAcentral lists this long non-coding RNA (357 nucleotides) under Lathyrus oleraceus (garden pea). RNAcentral describes it as "Pisum sativum (pea) long non-coding RNA (PSAT_LNC005836)". Lineage: Eukaryota; Viridiplantae; Streptophyta; Magnoliopsida; Fabales; Fabaceae. The record is from RNAcentral.